Molecule: long non-coding RNA, 1562 nt
Organism: Malaclemys terrapin pileata
Lineage: Eukaryota; Metazoa; Chordata; Testudines; Emydidae
Exons: 3
Source: RefSeq, a predicted model, not a curated record
CCACAAAUGAAGAGCUAGUGAAGAGCGCAGACACAAUAGUCAAAGAUGAACUGUUCUAAAUAGAAAGACCUAGCACUGAGCAUUGAAGACAGCUACGAAGACAAUCUGAGAAGAUGUGGCAGUUUAUACAUGUGCUGUUGUUUCUGACAGAGCAAUAACUUUUGACCUGGAUUAAGUCUAGACUUACAACAAAGACGGAAGAAAUGAAUCCCACGAUUAAAGGUGAACCAGAAGGCACUGAAGAUGAUCCAUACGGUGAUACUACUGCAUAUACCUGUGUUGCUCGUACCUGUCCCAAAACUGAAUUCUUGACUUUUAUGGUGGAAGGACUAUCAACAGACUACCACUGAAUGUCUUAACAUCCAAGAGAAAGGACAAGCCACAGGUGCACAACUGAGCUCAGCCCAGAAUAUCAGAAGGCUUCCAGAAAAUACUAGCAAAGAAGCUGUGUGAUUUAAAUGAAAAUUCAAGAGCCCAACAGUCAAGAACUUGGGAUGGGAUGUUAAGACUAUUUCAUUUUUAUGAAAAAUGUGUUAUCAAGUGGACCUGCCAUGAAAGUGUGCAGUUCUGAAACUCUCUAAAAAGAUGCAGUAGCCACAACACAUAUGCAAAUAGGAGCAGAUACCAAGCUCAAAAGUAGCCUCCAUAUGCUUGUCAAAACCAAGAUUUCAAUUCCAUAGAUUCAGAGAUUAAACUUGUGAAUGGAGAUGUUCAUAAAGACUUUAAUAUAUUAUUUUCUAAAGAUGACAAAAGACUGGGUUCUCUUGCACAGAUGCAUGUAAAUAUGGCACAGAUACCUUUUGGUUUUAUCCCAAUAAAAUGCUGUAUCCAUGUAGGACAAAGAAAAUUCUAAAAUGACUGAUAAAAGGGAAAGAGAUUGGAGUGGUAUCUUUACUCUCUCCAAAUCCUUAAACUAUUUCCACUAAUUGAUAUGCGGCUAUCUAGCAGAUUUCUGUGAUUCCACAUUCAUAGCUCUGUCUUUCCCAGAGGAUUAAAAUCAAGUAAUCAGGCCAACAGAUGAAGAACAUUUCCAGUUUGAGUGAAGAAUUUGAUCUUACUGCUGAGGCAAGAGGCCUGGGCUCAGGAAGAGAACAAAGGGCUUGUUGUCCUUGGACAGGGCUAUCAGAACUGGGAAUCACAUAUGGUAAACUCAAGAUGGGGCAACCAGAAUCUCUCUGGCCCUUUCUUGCUCAGUCUUUUUGAAAUUUUGCUAAGAGAGGAAAAGGUGAAGAAUAUGCAUUUUCUUCCCCAGUGUAACAAACUUAUUUGACACUAAAUUGCGACUAUGGAUGCCAUGGAGCAAAAUAUUGCACAUUUUGUAUUCUCACUCAUUGCAAAGAGAACCCACAUAUGGAUGACCUCCUCCGGUUUGAAAAAAAAAAAGGGAAUUAGCUAUAGAAUCCUUUAAGAGUGUUGAUAUCAUCUUGUUAUCCUUAACUGCUAGCAUGUUCUCUCAUGCCAAAAUGCAAGUUGUAGAUAUUGCCCUGUUAUGAAUGUACCAAUUACACAAAAGUGAUGCAUGACUUGUUGUCACACCUCAGGGGGCUGGGAUCUCCAUCUGU